GACGAACGCUGGCGGCGUGCUUAACACAUGCAAGUCGAACGGUGAAGGAAGAGCUUGCUCUUCCGGAUCAGUGGCGAACGGGUGAGUAACACGUGGGCAACCUGCCCCUGACUCUGGGAUAACUCCUCGAAAGAGGUGCUAAUACCGGAUACGACCACUUCGGACAUCCGAUGGUGGUGGAAAGUUUUUCGGUCAGGGAUGGGCCCGCGGCCUAUCAGCUAGUUGGUGGGGUAAUGGCCUACCAAGGCGACGACGGGUAGCCGGCCUGAGAGGGCGACCGGCCACACUGGGACUGAGACACGGCCCAGACUCCUACGGGAGGCAGCAGUGGGGAAUAUUGCGCAAUGGGCGAAAGCCUGACGCAGCGACGCCGCGUGAGGGGAUGAA
RNAcentral lists this ribosomal RNA (387 nucleotides) under uncultured bacterium. Its description in RNAcentral is "bacterial SSU rRNA". It matches the Rfam family "Bacterial small subunit ribosomal RNA", at positions 28 to 412 of the family's 1533-position model. The record is from RNAcentral.